RNAcentral lists this ribosomal RNA (253 nucleotides) under uncultured bacterium. RNAcentral describes it as "partial 16S ribosomal RNA". It matches the Rfam family "Bacterial small subunit ribosomal RNA", at positions 524 to 776 of the family's 1533-position model. The record is from RNAcentral.
UACGGGGGGGGCGAGCGUUGUUCGGAAUUACUGGGCGUAAAGGGCUCGUAGGCGGCCAACUAAGUCAGACGUGAAAUCCCUCGGCUUAACCGGGGAACUGCGUCUGAUACUGGAUGGCUAGAGAUUGGGAGAGGGACGCGGAAUUCCAGGUGUAGCGGUGAAAUGCGUAGAUAUCUGGAGGAACACCGGUGGCGAAGGCGGCGUCCUGGACCAACACUGACACUGAAAAGCGAAAGCCAGGGGAGCAAACGGG